UACGAAGGGUGCAAGCGUUAAUCGGAAUUACUGGGCGUAAAGCGCGCGUAGGUGGUUCGUUAAGUUAGGAGUGAAAGCCCCGGGCUCAACCUGGGAAUUGCUUCUAAAACUGGCGAGCUAGAGUAUGGUAGAGGGUGGUGGAAUUUCCUGUGUAGCGGUGAAAUGCGUAGAUAUAGGAAGGAACAUCAGUGGCGAAGGCGACCACCUGGACUGAUACUGACACUGAGGUGCGAAAGCGUGGGGAGCAAACAGGAUUAGAUACUCCUGUAGUCCCU
This 275-nucleotide ribosomal RNA is filed under the name uncultured prokaryote. RNAcentral describes it as "partial 16S ribosomal RNA". It matches the Rfam family "Bacterial small subunit ribosomal RNA", at positions 524 to 798 of the family's 1533-position model. The record is from RNAcentral.